This is a long non-coding RNA of Portunus trituberculatus (swimming crab), 2075 nucleotides long. RefSeq lists it as uncharacterized. The record is from RefSeq and is a predicted model, not a curated record. Lineage: Eukaryota; Metazoa; Arthropoda; Malacostraca; Decapoda; Portunidae. The transcript has 6 exons.
CCAUAUUGAAAAGCUUCCGGUUGGUUUGACAUGGGAUUAUGAGUGUGUUUUUACGUUUCUAGUAACAUAGUAAUAAGAUUUCUAUACUCAAACGGCUCCGAUUGAAGUGACUCGUACAGGAUUUCACGAGUGUUUUUGAAGUUCUGGUGACAAUAUCAAGACCAGGGUUAAAUAUACUAAUAGACCCUGAACAAGACUGCGUUGGUGUUUCCACGUCUCCAAUUUAUCAUAUUACUGGACUAAUCCACGAAACCGAGCCACAGAAGUAGGACUACGUUAUCAAAACUCUGUAGUCAGCAGCCCCUAAUGGUUCCCGUGAUCCGUGGCCUGCAAGACAGCCACGUCAGGAUAGAAUGACCCGGUAUAUUAAGACCAGCUGAUCUACUGAUAUGCUGCCGCCAUCAUCUCAAAGGCUCAAGAAACAGCAAUCUAGAUGAGGUUUGUGGACGUCCAGCAGCACACAUACUUUCAGAGAGACUUGUUGGAACUGCAAGACAAAGAAUAAGGGUGAGGAUGAAGGACACUAUAACAUUCACUGCACUGAAGGAGGAGGUGUAAGGAAACUGACUUCCUUGAAGAAGCUACAGCAAAACUGGUGUUUUCCUCAUGCCACCUCCUCCACCCUCUCAAUGUCUGAACAUUCACUGCAUUAUUGGUUUAAAAUUUCUUUUUUUGUGAAAGGUGACUCGAUCGCUCGUCCCGACAUCCUCUGGAGAGAGAAAAACAAAAAAGAAAAAAAAAAUGCAAACAAACGACAAUCAAUAUUUCACAUUAAUUCCUACAUCUAAAGGUGCGUCCACACGAUCGAACAAUGUUCGACGGACAAAAUUGUUACCAAUUACCAGUGGAAAGCAGAAAGGCUCGCUGAUGACGUCAGAAGCGAGCACCAAGUGGUGUACCGGACACUGUCCAUGUUCGCAACAUCGAAAGGUCAGACACUGUCUGGUGUGGAAGUAUACGAUAUACGAUGCUGCCAGGCACACGACAAACAAAGUCACUUGGUUACAGGAUUUUCAAAGUCCGUCAGUUCACUAGUUCUCAAUUGUCCUGUUAACAUGACCAGCAGUACCUCAGUCAAGGAGAAAAGUUGCCACUGGGACAGAAAAGAGACCCUGCUACUAAUAGAACUAUACCGGCAAAAUCUAUGCUUAUGGAAUGUCAAGGCUGAUGUGUACAAGGAUAGGAACAAACGUGUCGCGGCCACCAAUGAAAUAACGGCAGGACUUAAUAGAAGUGGAUUAUCUGCUACUACUUCUGAAGUGAAGAAAAAAAAUAGAAUCUAUCCGUAGUCAAUAUAGGAGAGAGCUACGAAAACUGGAAAAAUCAAAGAAGUCGGGGGCUGGUGCUGACGACAUUUACACCCCCAUAUUAUGACCUCUGCUUCCUCAACGAUGGCGACAGCAUGAGAGAAUCCGUUUCAAGUAUGGAUAGCCAAGUGUCUCAUGUGCCUGAAGAAGUGUCUGAUCAUGAGAUCACAGCACCUUCCUCAUUGAAAUACAAUUGUGCCGUUGAUGGUGGAGGUGUGUUCUUCAUACUCGAGCGGUAGCAUGCCAGGGAUUUCUUCAGUGUUUUCUAUAUUUGCAUCCGAACACAAAUUUGGGGUGAUAGGUGCUUUGCGAAGAUUUUCAAUAAAAUGAAGAUGGUUCUGUAACCAAUACAACACCAACGCCUGUCACACCUGUCCCAAGUACAUCGCAUGAUAAUGUACAACCUGCAACACCUGAGUCUUCACGCAUUCAGACUCAAACUACCCGAGGGAGAAAAAGGUCUUUACUCACUGACGAGAGGCAUGAGGGGCUUCAAGAAGCACUUCAUCAACUUAAAGAACUAUCUCGAUCGGAGAAGGAGGAUAGCGAUGAAGAAAGUGCUUUUGGUGAUGUUGUUACCAAUGAUUUACGAAAGAUGAAUGAAGAAAAUAGGAUCCAUGCACAGAAACUAAUUUCUGAGGUACUUUAUCUGGGAAAAUUAGGGAAGCUCACCUUUUCAUCCAAGGUUGUUGGCUAAUUAUGUACGACCAUAAUUUUGUCUGUAUUGAAAGUGGCAUCAAUAUGUUUACAAUAAAGCUGUGAAAGUAA